Molecule: unclassified non-coding RNA, 293 nt
Filed under: Hevea brasiliensis (rubber tree)
Lineage: Eukaryota; Viridiplantae; Streptophyta; Magnoliopsida; Malpighiales; Euphorbiaceae
Source: RNAcentral
UUUCCUGCGCUUGCUCCCUUUCCCUUCUCUCAUCUUUACCUACUUUGCUGUCUACUCUAGUAACUCUACUAAUCUAUGAGAGGAAUGAGGGAAAGGCUGAGAGUGUUGAUGCAAGUUUUUGGAUCUGAAGGUCUUGGAAAGGAUCAGUUUUCAUUUCUGAGAAAUUCUUUCCGAAACCUCCAAUUCCAAUCAUUUGCAUCUCCUUCUCCCUUUCCCAUGGAUAUCCUUCAUUUCUGACUUCAUUUUGGCUAAGAAAAGUUGGAGAGAAUCUCGUGGAGAAUAGAAAAAAGCAG